This 253-nucleotide ribosomal RNA is filed under the name uncultured bacterium. RNAcentral describes it as "partial 16S ribosomal RNA". It matches the Rfam family "Bacterial small subunit ribosomal RNA", at positions 524 to 776 of the family's 1533-position model. The record is from RNAcentral.
UACGUAGGGGGCUAGCGUUGUCCGGAAUCAUUGGGCGUAAAGCGCGUGUAGGCGGCUAAGUAAGUCGGGCGUGAAAUCCCACGGCUCAACCGUGGAAGUGCACUCGAAACUGCAUAGCUAGAGUCCUGGAGAGGAAGGUGGAAUGCUUGGUGUAGAGGUGAAAUUCGUAGAUAUCAAGCGGAACACCGGUGGCGAAGGCGGCCUUCUGGACAGUGACUGACGCUGAGACGCGAAAGCGUGGGGAGCAAACAGG